GCACAAGCGGUGGAGUAUGUGGUUUAAUUCGAUGCAACGCGAAGAACCUUACCUGGUCUUGACAUCCCGGAGACCCUUAGGAAACUAGGGGGUGCUUCCAUCUGGAAGAAUCUGGAGACAGGUGCUGCAUGGCUGUCGUCAGCUCGUGUCGUGAGAUGUUGGGUUAAGUCCCGCAACGAGCGCAACCCUUGCCUUUAGUUGCCAGCAGUUCGGCUGGGCACUCUAAAGGGACUGCCGGUGUUAAACCGGAGGAAGGUGGGGAUGACGUCAAGUCCUCAUGGCCUUUAUGACCAGGGCUGCACACGUACUACAAUGGCCGAUACAAAGGGCAGCGACACUGCGAGGUGAAGCCAAUCCCGUAAAAUCGGUCUCAGUCCGGAUUGGAGUCUGCAACUCGACUCCAUGAAGUUGGAAUCGCUAGUAAUCGUGGAUCAGCAUGCCACGGUGAAUACGUUCCCGGGCCUU
RNAcentral lists this ribosomal RNA (465 nucleotides) under uncultured Desulfobulbus sp. RNAcentral's name for it is "bacterial SSU rRNA". It matches the Rfam family "Bacterial small subunit ribosomal RNA", at positions 923 to 1382 of the family's 1533-position model. The record is from RNAcentral. Lineage: Bacteria; Pseudomonadati; Thermodesulfobacteriota; Desulfobulbia; Desulfobulbales; Desulfobulbaceae.